Molecule: ribosomal RNA, 433 nt
Filed under: uncultured bacterium
Lineage: Bacteria
Description: partial 16S ribosomal RNA
Rfam family: Bacterial small subunit ribosomal RNA
Source: RNAcentral
AACGAACGCUGGCGGCAUGCCUAACACAUGCAAGUCGAACGAGACCUUCGGGUCUAGUGGCGCACGGGUGCGUAACGCGUGGGAACCUGCCUUUAGGUUCGGAAUAACUCAGAGAAAUUUGAGCUAAUACCGGAUGAUGUCUUCGGACCAAAGAUUUAUCGCCUUUAGAUGGGCCCGCGUUGGAUUAGCUAGUUGGUGGGGUAAAGGCCUACCAAGGCGACGAUCCAUAGCUGGUCUGAGAGGAUGAUCAGCCACACUGGGACUGAGACACGGCCCAGACUCCUACGGGAGGCAGCAGUAGGGAAUAUUGGACAAUGGGCGAAAGCCUGAUCCAGCAAUGCCGAGUGAGUGAUGAAGGCCUUAGGGUUGUAAAGCUCUUUUACCCGAGAUGAUAAUGACAGUAUCGGGAGAAUAAGCACCGGCUAACUCCGUG